This 302-nucleotide ribosomal RNA is filed under the name uncultured bacterium. Its description in RNAcentral is "partial 16S ribosomal RNA". It matches the Rfam family "Bacterial small subunit ribosomal RNA", at positions 508 to 809 of the family's 1533-position model. The record is from RNAcentral.
GCAGCCGCCGCGGGAAUACAGAGGGUGCGAGCGUUAAUCGGAUUUACUGGGCGUAAAGCGUGCGUAGGCGGCUUUUUAAGUCGGAUGUGAAAUCCCUGAGCUUAACUUAGGAAUUGCAUUCGAUACUGGGAAGCUAGAGUAUGGGAGAGGAUGGUAGAAUUCCAGGUGUAGCGGUGAAAUGCGUAGAGAUCUGGAGGAAUACCGAUGGCGAAGGCAGCCAUCUGGCCUAAUACUGACGCUGAGGUACGAAAGCAUGGGGAGCAAACAGGAUUAGAUACCCGCGUAGUCCCUGUCUCUUAUAA